AUACCCUAUUAUUUAUUUUUUUUUUAUUGAUUAUUAUUAGUUAUUUUCUUUAAAAAUCAAAGAUUUUGGCGGUUAGUUAAUUCUUUUUAGAGGAGCAUGUGUUUUAAUUGAUAUUCCACGAUAUUUUUUACCAAAAUUUUAUUUGUAUAUCUCUAUUGUAAGAUUAUUAUUAAAAUAAUUAUCUUUUUCUUUUUAAGAUAAAUUUUAGGUCAAGAUGCAGUUUUAUUUUGGGUUUCAUGUGUUAUUUUAAUUAUAUAUUAUUAUAUAAUCUUAUUGGUAAUAUUUAGGAUUUAAUAGUAAAUUUAAUUAAUUAAUUAUUUUUAAUUUAGUUCUAAUUAAU
RNAcentral lists this ribosomal RNA (340 nucleotides) under Jivena sp. SK-2013. Its description in RNAcentral is "partial 12S ribosomal RNA". Lineage: Eukaryota; Metazoa; Arthropoda; Insecta; Hemiptera; Cicadellidae. The record is from RNAcentral.